This is a long non-coding RNA of Anguilla anguilla (European eel), 1719 nucleotides long. RefSeq lists it as uncharacterized. The record is from RefSeq and is a predicted model, not a curated record. Lineage: Eukaryota; Metazoa; Chordata; Actinopteri; Anguilliformes; Anguillidae. The transcript has 3 exons.
CCUAUAGGAUACAAAAUGAAAGAAUUAUGGCCGGCAUUUGCUCAUGUACAAUCAAUAGCUACUUACGCUAAAAGACUCGAAAGCUGUUGAAGAUCAGAUACGGAAAGAACUUUGGGCCAGCAUCAGCUGCGGGUCUAGAGUGACGCAUGACACGUGACGCAAAGGAAGAACACGUGACGCAAAGGACGAACGGCUUUGAUAAGGGACAAAGUCAUACCCCAGAAAGAUGAACACAGCAAUACAAAGCGAUGCAAUGUUCUACACUGUGAAUGUAAAAGACGAGAAGAUCCAGAUAUGGGCAAAGGAGGAGGAGGUAGUACACAACACGAAAGCAUAUGGCUGUGUGAAUGGUAAAUGGUGGGAUUAUGCCAGGUGGCUAAAAAUAGGUUUAUGUGAUGGGGGGGUGGGGGGGGCUGUGCAGGGUGCAGGGGCUGGUGUUGCUCUUGAGAGAGAUUAGGAGAGGGAGAAAUACUUUGAGGAUUCUCUGGUAUUUUGUAAAUACAGCACACACGUGGAUGUGUUUUGUGAGCAUAUCUCACACGAAUCGCUUUUCAAUUACACUGCGAUCCACUCAUCAUGCAACACACUGCGUCCUGGUAAUACUGAUGUCAGCACUGACAUAUUCAUUAAGUUGAGAGACAGUCUGAUAUCCCAGCCAGUAUGUGCCAUUUUCUGUUAAUGCAUGUGGCACAAGAGAAGAGGUGUGACGAUAUCGUUGAGCGGUACAGAGAUGUUAUAACAAUGUAAUGGCUUCCUUCUGGUCAUUUCACCCCAACCCAUGAACAGUCUUCUUUUAAAUUAAAAAUAUAUUUAUAAAUAGCCAUGGGUGUCUAUACUUCUUCCAGAAUUGGCAGUGGUGUUGAUGCAUGAAUAAGCCUGUGGUUGCUGACAAAUGGCCAUUCCAAACUAGGGUGGGAAUUGGACGUGCUCAGGCCCCAUGUUAGGUGCCAAAUAUUUUAAGAAAAAAAUAUUUAUAUUCUUUACUAUGUAAGCAUCUGUACACCAUUAUAAAUAGUACGUCUGUUAUAGUAUGACAGCAUGGUUUAUAAUAAAUGACCAUGACAUUUGAAGCAUCUAUGAGAGUAUAUAUGGGUUACUGGGGUGCUGAGUGGACCUAGAUGAAAGCUGGAUUUUGAUUAGGCUUCCUGUCCAUUUGAUUAAAUGGACAGGAAGCCUAACCAAUGAAAAUGUAUUUGAACCACUCCACACCAGUGCAUGUAGAAUUACCUCAUAAUCUAUACCAUAUAUAAGUGGGUAAUAUCUGCACACAACUGCACACACAUACAAACACAUAUGCACACAUGCAUGCAUGCUGCACUUGUAUCUUCAUCUUGAUGUUGUAGCUCUUUGUCAUAUCUCUUGUAAUCAUGCUUCACUUCUUACUUAUGACCUGUCGUAACUUUUCUGACUUAGCCUGUAGUUACAAUGUGAACUAGACGGUGUUCAUGGCUAUGGUUAACUGCCACUUCGUGAGAAUUGCACCUUAUCUGACCUGUGUUCUGUAGAGGUUCCAUGACCUUCGACAUGCACUUAAGUGUACAUCGCUCUGGAUAAAAGCGUCUGCCAAAUGAAAUGUAAUGUAAUGUAAUGUACACACACGGGGGCUUAGCUAGGAAUUCUGGGCUCGCUGAACAAAUAUUGCUGGGCCCCCUUUUUUUAAAUAAAACAAAUAGAUUUUUUUUUUAAAGCUGUGGGCCCCUUCAAGCUGUGGGCCCAUUA